UUUGGAUGAAAUUAGUAUAACUAGUGCUUCAUGCAUGUGUAUAACUGUCACGUAUAUGUGAGUGAAAUAAAACGCAUGUGAAUGAUUUUUCCAUCCUUCGCAGAAGGUUUGGAACUUAAACUGAUAUUAUGCUAUUCGACUACAGCUUGACGUAUAAAGCGAGAUCAUGAAAUCACACAACUUCUUUGUCUUCUUAGAGCAUUAUUUAAUUUUUUGGGCUAAAUUUUCGAGAGUAGAGUCGUUUGUAUGUCAGCACUACUUUUAAUUUUAAACCUCCUUGUAAAGUAUUUAAAUAACUAAAACAGAUAUUAAAAACACGGAAGUAGGAUCAAACCUCUCUAAAA
This 344-nucleotide unclassified non-coding RNA is filed under the name Melitaea cinxia (Glanville fritillary). RNAcentral's name for it is "misc RNA ENSMCXG00005007589.1". The record is from RNAcentral. Lineage: Eukaryota; Metazoa; Arthropoda; Insecta; Lepidoptera; Nymphalidae.